This 253-nucleotide ribosomal RNA is filed under the name uncultured bacterium. Its description in RNAcentral is "partial 16S ribosomal RNA". It matches the Rfam family "Bacterial small subunit ribosomal RNA", at positions 524 to 776 of the family's 1533-position model. The record is from RNAcentral.
UACGAAGGUGGCAAGCGUUACUCGGAAUUACUAGGCGUAAAGGGCAGGUAGGUGGUUCGAUAAGUCUGCUGUGAAAGCUCCCGGCUCAACUGGGAGAGGCCAGCAGAAACUAUCGGACUUGAGUAUGGGAGAGGGUACUGGAAUUCCCGGUGUAGCGGUGAAAUGCGCAGAGAUCGGGAGGAACACCAAUGGCGAAAGCAGGUACCUGGACCAUUACUGACACUCAGCUGCGAAAGCUAGGGGAGCAAACAGG